Molecule: long non-coding RNA, 4579 nt
Organism: Gasterosteus aculeatus (three-spined stickleback)
Lineage: Eukaryota; Metazoa; Chordata; Actinopteri; Perciformes; Gasterosteidae
Source: Ensembl
AUGCAUGUGGUAAAAAAUAUGUUGACAUGGCCUAAAAAUAAAUUAAAAUGUCUCACUUCUUUCCCUCCAUUUACUUCUCAGUACUACAUAACCGAAGCUGUGAACAGAUUCUUCAACCCGGAGCCCGCCAACAUCCCCGCCAACGUCCCCGCCAACGUCCCCGCCAACGUCCCCGCCAACGCCAGCGAGCGCGUCGACUCUGGUCCCACCGGAGGUGAUGCCGGCGCAAGGAUCGCCGACGAGGAGCGGCCUCCUGCGACAGCCUCUCUGCUGAGCUCAUCACGGCCACUUGUUGCCUGGGAAUUUUGCACCACAGAAAUCGACUUAGGAGCUGAAGAAAACGUGGCACACGAAGCCCAGCCGAGCGGAGGCACACAGAGAAAAGCAUCCGGGCAAAGUGAGGGCGCGUGCGGAGGACACGUGGGAAAUGAGGAUGCCACGCGGCCGAUCGCAGAUGAAGACGAACGAGAAGAAAACCGGGAACGUACCUUGAGCGCCGGCAGGAGGGAUGAUGAUGAUGAUGAUGAUGAUGGUGGUGGUGGUCAUGGGGAACAUGCAAACACCAGGUGGCAAAAUCUCACAGGUGAUGCAAUGAGUGACGACGUGGAGGAAAGUGGGAGAGAAGCCGGAGACAAAGAGGAGACAAAGAGGGCAGUGACACCGGAGCAUUUUGAAGAGAUGGGUGAAGCCGUGAGAAAUAUCCAUGGAAAGGAAGCAGAAAAUAAAAUGGAGCACAAAGAUGAAAAAGGUUUACAGAACACAGACAUCGGGGUAAAUAUAUGUCCGAUCACAGAUUUGAGUGCAGAAGAAGGGGAUGAGGUGCAUGUGCAUGAAGCGGAGUCAACGGAGACGCAUGAGGAAGUAGAAGAUACAAAACCAUUUGAAAUCCAACAGGAUUUCAGGGGAGACGCAGAGUUCACCUCACUGCACGUCGAUCUACAAACGGCCCGCGACAAUAGCGACAUCGAGUCCGAGGAUGAGUCAUACGCUGUUGAGGGCGAUGGCGUUGAGAAGGCGAAGGAGGCGGAUGCUGUCAUUGAGGAGGAAUAUGAGAAAGAGGACUCAAACCACCGCACAACAGAGCCGGAGGACGCCGUCGAAACCCUCGCUGGAGAAAGUGAAAGAGAAGACGUAUUGACUGAGGAUGUUCCACGCUGUGAAGAAGUCGUGCAGAAUGCUGAACCGGAGCCGCGGGCGGCUGACUUCCCGGACGCAGGACAAGUGGAUGUGGCUCCGAACGCUGACGUGCAAACCGAAAGCAGAGAGGUGGGUGAAGACGAGACAGAAGACAUGGUGGUCAAAUCUGAUGGGACAACGACGCAAACCUCAGUAAGCGCGGGACUUUUUGAAAAAGAUAAAGUAGAAGAAGAGAGGCUCCUCGGUGAAGAAGGCAAAGAAAGUUUCAUGGACGUGGCAGGUACACUUAACGCCGUUACGGUAGAAUCCGAAGGCGAGACUGCGCAGGAAAUGGCAGCAGCGAUUAAGGAUUUUCCCACGGGGAAAUUUGAAGGCCGGCUCGCUGUCUCGGCGCUCAACUUUCCAUCGUGUGAGGAAACACAAAAGGGAAUUCCUGAGUAUAACAAUGUGCCAGGGCCAGAUGAAAAUACAACACAAGUGCUCCUGGAGGAAGGAGAUUGUGAGGACGCCCAGGGCGAGGUGGGGAGCAAAGCGGCAGAGAGCCUUCAAAACAGUGGCUGUGGAACCGGUGCUGACUAUUUAGUGGUGAUGGAGCAUAUGGAAGAGGAGCAAGAGAGCGUGGGAGAUGUUAAGAACAACUUUGAUUCUGGAUUGCCUCAAGAAACAGAGAAACCGCUCCAAGCAGUAACCCGAGAAUCUGGACACUUAAUUGAGGAGGAGGAAGGAGAAUCUUUGGUUGAUUGUAUGAAGACGGCCAUCGAACACACAGAAAAGGAAUUUGAGAUGCGCAUUGGCCCAACAGACACAAUUAAUAAGGCGAAAAACGAGCCCCAAGAUGGGUUGGAAGAGAUUUUAAUUGACUUAGAAAUAGACGAAGGGUCAUGUGAUCCCAAAGGCAGCAGCAGGACGACAGGAGCUUCAGCAUCAGAGGAAACUUUCCUCAAGGCUGAAGAGCAGAAGAUGACAGAGACUAGCUCCUGUCACGUAGGUGAGCUGACCUCCGAGCAGAACAGAAACAUGGCUCCUAGUUCACUGGAAGACAUAACUGAAUCUGGAUGCUUGAAACGGCACGAUGAGACUGAGGCUGAACUACUUGAAGAUGUAAAAAGACAGGAAGCUGAUGUGAAAGAAGCAGCUAGGGAAGUUGAGCAGGUGGUUGCGGCAGAAGAUGAGAUGCAGAGCCAAAAUGAGAUGGAAUUGUCACAUCAGCAGGUCGAGGAAUCUGUUGGGUCACCGGAGAAGAGCAAUGUACAACCGGACGAAGCACUUGAGAUCAACGAUGAGACUUUAACAGACUCUGAAGCGCCUGAGGAAUCAAAGACGGCAGAGUCCAAAGCAGAAGAUUUCACUUCAGGAGUGGACGAGCGGAGUUGUGCUGAAGAAACUGUCUCCUCAUCCAGCGGAUGUCAGGGUAUGGUCGAUGACGAGGUCCAACAACAAGUAGACCCGCGGACGGGAGAACUAACGGAGCCUUACGAUGAGGAGCAAGGGGAAAUAUCGUCACUGCAGACGGAGAAGGAUGAAGACCAGCGUGUGGAGUCAAAUUCAAGGGAAUCUGAAUUGUUGGGUCACACGGAAACGUCUUCCUCAACAGUAGAGACUGGAUUUGUUCACCAGUCCGGGUCAUUUCAAAGCCUAUAUGACACGUUGGCUAUUGUCUCAGAAUCAGCAGACAUCUCCGAGCUGUCUAGCCUACAACCCAACUGUGAUAUGCGGGACACGUUGAGAGAGGAAGCGGCUGAGACGGGGCAAACGGAUCUGAAGGAGAAGGAAGAAUUCGGAGGGGCAGGAUUUCACCCCGAUUUGGAAGUCCCCUCACCAGAGGCCAGACAUCAGGGAUCCGCUGAAACUGGAUCAGGGAAUGAGAUCGAUGUCGAGGCCUCCGACUCGAAAGACGACGGAGAAGUCGAACCUCAGCCACAGACCGAAAGGAGUUUUCUUUACCAAUUUGAGAAAACCCCGACUGAAGAUGAGCCUCAAGAGUUGGCCGCGUCCGACUCUCCGGAUGAUAUUAAAGGAACAGAACCAGAACAAUCGACAUCCGGCUCAGAGGCGUUGUUAGAGGAUGAAAUAGUGCCGACGGAAUCUCGCUCACAGAGCGACGUCUGCACUGAAUCCGAGAGGAAGCUGCCCUCGGUGGACAAACCCCAGCCCGGGUGGAAUGAAGGAGUUGCCGAGUCAUCCGUUGGGCUCAACAUGGCCGACGGGGCAGAACAUUCAGCGACAACGUCUGAAGAUCAGAUGGAGGUGGAGAGCUCUGCGCUUGACUUUACCGCGCAAAGGUCAAGAAUUUCUGUUAAAAACCCACAUGUACGGCCACCCAAAGAUGCCCGCUCCCUCCUAAAUAUGCCCUCAUUGGAUCCCACACCCUCCCCACACAUGUCUCCCAAAGUCCCUGUAGGUGGGCCUUUGGGAGGCUUGGGCUUUGGAAUAAAACUCCCUGGCCUUGGUGGGGGAUUUCCUGUUUUAAAAAAGACAAAGCUGGUUGGAAGAGAUGAAAAUAGUCCCGAGACCCUAUCACAGGAGACAAAGCCAGAGGAGAGGAGUGACACCGAAGAUGAGACCCAACACAAACCAAAAUGGAUGCCACCAAGACAUCCAGGAUUUGGAAAUCCACUUAUGUCCGAGUUGAAGACCAAACUGAAGAAAACCACAAAAGAGUGAGAAGAAGAUGAAUUGUGAUUAUUGUGUGAGUGAGAAUGUAAUAUGUAAAUUGAGAUAUUUUUGGAACUGAACACAGUGAUGAAAUGUACAUGCCUUGUCAUAAAGCUUAACUAAAGAGUGGUCAUUUUACAUAGCCGUGUUUACAGCAAAUCAAGGAUUAUCUCUCUGGGGUGCGAAAGGACAACAUAAACUAUUGAGGUCCACGUGGUGGACAUGGUUGUGUCGUUGACUGAGUGAACUCAAAAUCACAAACAAUUUCGAUGUGCUAAGAAGCUUAAACUAUUUCUAUUGUGCAGCUCACAACCCCCCAACCCCCCCGGUCUUUGAAAGCUAUCUAUGUAUACCGUGCAAUUAAUAUGAAUUUAACUUGCUAGAUAUAAGAUAUGUAAUAUGUGGCGUACAUAUUUACAAUUUAUUUUGGAAUUCACCAUAAUAAAAAAACAAAAAAAUCUAUUCAAUUUAAAAUGUAAUUUUAUCAAGACAGUAGGUGGCAGUACUACACCAUAACAUGGACAUUCAUUUUAAACACAUGAAGAAGAAACGUUUAGCUGUGAUUGGUCGGAAUUAACCAAUCGACGUGAAGGAAGCUAGUGACGUGUUUUGAACCAGAGCGGCGCUGCAGUUGUGAGUAACUUUAUGAACUUUUCGAUGUUGAGUUUGACACACUGUUGUUCGAUUGGUACGUGUUUCCGUACACGGAUUCGAAUGAAUAAAGAACACUAAUUAAAAGUAUUUCCACGAAUAUAAACCUCCACCAAGAAGCGUCCGGGCUGUUGAG